Molecule: ribosomal RNA, 1435 nt
Filed under: uncultured organism
Description: 16S ribosomal RNA
Rfam family: Bacterial small subunit ribosomal RNA
Source: RNAcentral
CAGGCUUAACACAUGCAAGUCGAGGGGCAGCAUUUUAGUUUGCUUGCAAACUGAAGAUGGCGACCGGCGCACGGGUGAGUAACACGUAUCCAACCUGCCGAUAACUCCGGAAUAGCCUUUCGAAAGAAAGAUUAAUACCGGAUAGCAUACGAAUAUCGCAUGAUAUUUUUAUUAAAGAAUUUCGGUUAUCGAUGGGGAUGCGUUCCAUUAGUUUGUUGGCGGGGUAACGGCCCACCAAGACAACGAUGGAUAGGGGUUCUGAGAGGAAGGUCCCCCACAUUGGAACUGAGACACGGUCCAAACUCCUACGGGAGGCAGCAGUGAGGAAUAUUGGUCAAUGGGCGAGAGCCUGAACCAGCCAAGUAGCGUGAAGGAUGAAGGCUCUAUGGGUCGUAAACUUCUUUUAUAUGGGAAUAAAGUUUUCCACGUGUGGAAUUUUGUAUGUACCAUAUGAAUAAGGAUCGGCUAACUCCGUGCCAGCAGCCGCGGUAAUACGGAGGAUCCGAGCGUUAUCCGGAUUUAUUGGGUUUAAAGGGAGCGUAGGUGGAUUGUUAAGUCAGUUGUGAAAGUUUGCGGCUCAACCGUAAAAUUGCAGUUGAAACUGGCAGUCUUGAGUACAGUAGAGGUGGGCGGAAUUCGUGGUGUAGCGGUGAAAUGCUUAGAUAUCACGAAGAACUCCGAUUGCGAAGGCAGCUCACUAGACUGUCACUGACACUGAUGCUCGAAAGUGUGGGUAUCAAACAGGAUUAGAUACCCUGGUAGUCCACACAGUAAACGAUGAAUACUCGCUGUUUGCGAUAUACAGUAAGCGGCCAAGCGAAAGCAUUAAGUAUUCCACCUGGGGAGUACGCCGGCAACGGUGAAACUCAAAGGAAUUGACGGGGGCCCGCACAAGCGGAGGAACAUGUGGUUUAAUUCGAUGAUACGCGAGGAACCUUACCCGGGCUUAAAUUGCAACAGAAUAUAUUGGAAACAGUAUAGCCGUAAGGCUGUUGUGAAGGUGCUGCAUGGUUGUCGUCAGCUCGUGCCGUGAGGUGUCGGCUUAAGUGCCAUAACGAGCGCAACCCUUAUCUUUAGUUACUAACAGGUGAUGCUGAGGACUCUAGAGAGACUGCCGUCGUAAGAUGUGAGGAAGGUGGGGAUGACGUCAAAUCAGCACGGCCCUUACGUCCGGGGCUACACACGUGUUACAAUGGGGGGUACAGAAGGCGGCUACCUGGUGACAGGAUGCUAAUCCCAAAAACCUCUCUCAGUUCGGAUCGAAGUCUGCAACCCGACUUCGUGAAGCUGGAUUCGCUAGUAAUCGCGCAUCAGCCAUGGCGCGGUGAAUACGUUCCCGGGCCUUGUACACACCGCCCGUCAAGCCAUGAAAGCCGGGGGUACCUGAAGUACGUAACCGCAAGGAGCGUCCUAGGGUAAAACUGGUAAUUGGGGC